AAGUCGUAACAAGGUAACCGUAGGUGAACCUGCGGUUGGAUCAUUGACAAUUUUUUGUGACCGUGCUGUGAAGUAAUUCACCGCGCGGGAUCAAUUAACACCCUUGUGAACCAUUGAAAUGUCUAUUGGCGGUCGUGAUUCGUUCCAUCAUUGAGGAAUGUGACUAUUUACUUGGUCUGUUCCUUCUACCUCUGCUAGGAGGGGCUCUGAUGGCUGAGAGCUCAGUUACUGAGUGACCUGAUCAUGGCUCGCCAGCCUAGAUGAAAUACCAUUACGUUUUUUUAAUCUGUCUUAUCAAACCUCUCUUAAUUGAGAAACAAUGAGAAACAACUUUAGACAACGGAUCUCUUGGCUCUCGCAACGAUGAAGAACGCAGCGAAAUGCGAUACGUAGUGUGAAUUGCAGAAUCCAGUGAAUCAUCGAAUCUUUGAACGCACAUUGCGCCCUUGGGUAUUCCUGGGGGCAUGCCUGUUUGAGAACCUUGACGUACCUCACACCCCACCUUGGUGUUUUAGCUUCGGCGAAAUUAUCCUCGCAGGUGCGGGAGUGGAUCUGGGCUUAGUCUUCUUCUUAAUGGAGAAGGAGCCUUAAAUGUAAUGUCGACCGCAUUCUUCACUUGGCUGGGUUGCUUUUUGAAAGACGUGAUAAAAAUGCCUUGAUUGGUGUAUCCUGGCGUCAAUAAAGAAGUAACUGUCCCAAUUGAAGCGCAAUCGCUCAUACCUCAAUACAUUGCCAGGCAGCCAAGACGGAACCUACCUCGUAGGUUUUCACCUUGACUGAAUACCUGAACACCUGGUCUCAAAUCAGACAAGAAUACCCGCUGAACUUA
Molecule: ribosomal RNA, 829 nt
Filed under: uncultured fungus
Lineage: Eukaryota; Fungi
Description: eukaryotic LSU rRNA
Rfam family: 5.8S ribosomal RNA (bases 329-482)
Source: RNAcentral